UGAUGCUUGCCUCCCUCUCCCCCACCUUCCACCACCACCACCCCACCCUCGCCAGCUGCUUUGCUCUCUUCUGGACUUCGCAUUGGACCAACUACAAAACUGCUAUUGAAAGUCUAAGUUACGUGACUCAGGUCGGUGACCACGACCCAAGAGCUUUCUCCGGACGCAGCAAUCUUCGGGAGGGGAUGUUCCCUGCUAGGUGCUGCUGCUGGGAUGAAGGGUGGAGAAGCUUUUUCAGUCUUUGUGAGGCAGCCUGGUGGGGCCCGAGGCAAAAAAUGGACGGUUCUCACCUUUGUACAACAGGCUGCAUUCCAGUCACGCAAAAGCUGGAGGCUUGUGUGCCCAUGAGCCCUCCUAACUUUCCAUCCCAGUUCAAGGACAUCUGCCAGCCAGGAAGGGGGCUGAGCAGAGCUGGGGGAGGCUGUGUCCCGGUGAAAGUAUUGAGGGUCUGCAUUUGACCCCCUUGGCUUGAAUCCCUUUACCCUGACCCCCUGAAAUACAAAGCUCAAAGGGGCAGCUUUUUCACUUACACCAGUUAUUUAUUUUCCCCACCCACAACAACAACAACCACCACUACCACCAGGGUCCUGGAGACUGCAUUUCUGUGAGGUAUGGCAAUCAUCUUAGCUUCAUUCUGGACAGAUCUACCCAAGUCGGCUGUGUUGAAGUUGUUGUGGCUUCUCAGAUGCCAUUGUUGUUUCACCCAAGGGUGGCUGCUUCUUGCAUUUAUACUCCAGAAGGCACAGAGCAAUUUCCGAAUGGCUCUUAGGCAGUCUCCCAUCAGAGGUGUACCUAGGGGCUGGUGAAAGCAGCCCCCGCCAGGAAUGUAGGCCCAGGGUCCCCCCGCAAAAACCACCUACGAGACUAGACGCGUGUGUGACGCACUGCCACUGUUGCGGUGAGAUCGGACGCAGGAGAAAAUCCCCAUGCUUCUUGCACUGUAGAACAAAGGCUUACGGUUAUUAUUAUUUUUGCCCUUCCUCCUCGCCUUGCCCUCACUCCAGACGCUUUUGAGUACUUGGGUUGUGUAGUAAUUUCUAAUGUGGCAAUUGCUUUAAAGUGAUUUCCUUUUUUCUCGCGGGGCGAGCGGAUACGCCUACACAGCUCCUUGUCGAGGGCGGAAGGGGUCCCAGGUACGCUUCUGCCUCCCGUCCCGGCAGCUUACAGAGUCAUGCCAGUUUAGUGGUGAGACUGUCUCAUAGAAUCGUAGAAUUGGAAGGGACCCUGGGGGUCAUCUAGUCCAACCCCCUCCAGUGCAGGAAUCUUUUGCCCAGUGUGGGGCCUUGAGAUUGAGAGUCCCGUGCUCUACCAACUGUUCUCUGGGCAGCCAGAAGGUUCCUCUCAUGCAAACUUUGGGAACAUAGGAAGCUGCCUUGUAUUGAGUCAGAUCCUCAGUCUAUCUAGGUCUGCAUUGUCUACACUGACUGGCAGCAGCUGUCUUUCUCAGCUGCACUUGGAGGUGAGGGUUGAACCAGGCACCUUCUGCAGACACUUGUGCAAAACCUCUUGUGCAUGGACAACUGCAUGUGCCAUGGUGUGAGUUAGCUUGGCUAUUGCAGAUGCGUACAAGCAAGCUUUCAUGUACUUUUCGCCGGUAGCAUUAUCUUUGAUGUUUACACUUUCUUUCCCCCCCUUUGGUUCUUUUUUUUUUUAAUCGCUGAGAAACCAGGGAUUCCGACAUCCUUCCUUUGAGGCCUUGCUACAGAUGACACCCAUCUAUCUUAAUUCUCUUCCCUCCGACACCCCCCCCCCCAGGGCCUUGUUAUAGACAUUACACUGAACACAAGCCAUCUCGGCACAUGUACAAGUGUUUGUGUGAAAGACCGGACACAACUUGUUGAUUUGUACAGCUCAGCUGUUGCACGCAUAAACUGCAGGGGGGUGCCAACUUGAAUACAAUAUUGUGGGCACCCAGGUAAACCCCGCCCUGCAUAAUUGAUCAUAUGAUGCAGUGCGCACACCUCAUUUGAAUGGGGAUGCCAAUCAACUUGGCGGGGGCCAGAACCCCUCAAACAUUUUAUUGUGGGGACCGAAGCCCCUAGGAGUUGGCUCCAAUGAUAGACUUACACUUACUGAAUGUGAGUAACUACAAACGUACAAAUCAGCUACUUAUGUACACAGAUUGUACACUUGUUGGAUGUAAUGUGGGAACGACCCUAGACUAAGCAUAAUUUGGAGAGAAGCUUGAACGGCCUUCAGUCACCGUGCUAUGGCUUCAGCCGUCUCCUUCCCCAACCCCAUAUUGCUAUACCGUAAAAACACUGGAUGUAUUGUCACUGGAGCUCUGACUAUGCCAAAAACUACUGAUCCUUUUUUAGCCACUGUGUCGUUUCUUGUAUCUCCUCCACGAUUCUUCAGAGAGAGAGAGAAAGCGGUUUUUACUACUCACUGUGGUCCAGCUUCUUAAGGAGCGCAAAGGAGACUUCUGAGCUUGAAAUGCGGGGAGCGGGCAGAAAUAUUAUAACGAUUCCUUUCAAAACCCCUUUCUGCUCAUUCUGUCGGAAAAGAUGUGAAAGCCACUUUCUGCACUUUGGGGAAUGCCAGGGAAUGCCCGGGCUCUAUGCAGGGCCGGCUUGGUGUCUGAGGAGGCCCUGGGCAAUGUAGUCUGUGGUGGGUUCUCUCCGCGAUCUGCGAGCCCCAGUUGGCUUACCUCUGGAGCAGGGAUUAUUCUCAAGCCAGCAGACCAGAUCCUGGGUUCCCCCACUCCCGCCAGCCCACUCAGACAGGUGGGCGAGGCCGCUUGCCUGCCACUCACCUGAUAUCACCAUGGCAUCGGGGGACCUGCUUUUCCUUCGUAGCAUGGCUUGCGUUCGAGCCGCACUGCCGAGGAAAACCCAAACAGGGCUUGACAUCACAGCUGAUCAGCUGGUUUCAAGCCAUGCUUCCCGCAGGGAUCUGCUGUGUUGUGGAGUCGCACCUAGCUUGGUCAGUCGCACCUAGCAAGCCUUGCAGCAAAGCUGUUCCCAGUGCAUUUUAACUCAGCACCUGUCAGCUGAUCGGUGCCGGCAGCAACCACCCCUUACCAAGGAGCAACUGGGAGCACACUUCAAUGCACCUCUGUUACAACCUCAGGGGUGCGGCUGGUGGGCAUGUUUUGGAGGCCAAAUUGGGACCCGUGCUGGACCUAGUUAGGCCCAGGAAGUUGCCCACCCCUGGUUUACUUCCGGGCGACUGCGCUACAAGUAAUAUGGGGAGCUGGGUCUACCCACCAACUGAAUUCCUCACAGUGCCUCAUAGGAACACAAUGCCAUGAAUAUUAUGGGAAGUGUAAAUGGAAACUAGACCUGCUUUGAACACCUGGGCGGGUUUUCUUUUUCUUUAAUGAAGAGUUCCAGAGGAAAUGUCAUUAAUGGGCCCUUCUGAGGCACUAGCUAGCCAAGGUUGCCUAUGCCUGGUCUUGGCCAAAACAAUUGGCCCUGGAAGGUGUGUUAGUGUAAUAAUGAUGUCUCUCUCUCUCAAAACUGACCAGCUGCAGCCAGUUCAUGGGGAUGGGGCGUUUGUGAGUGCCAAGAGUGGGCAGGCUUAAAGCUCCUGUUUCAGACAUUAUUCAGCGCUUAGGGGAGGGGGAGGAUGGGAUGGUAGGGACAAGUCUGCAUUUCAGUGGAAUACAGCAAGGCAGAACGAGACUUGCUCCCCGCUUCUCCCCCAUUGCCCAGCCGCCAUUUUGAAUCUUGAGGAAAAGUUGGCCUCGUGUGUUCCACGUUCCACAUAAGAAAGGGGUGGGGUUUGAGGGCAACUGCUUAUGCGAUUGGCCAGCACAGCCGCCCGUCUUCCCAAGAAGUAGGUGCUCGUGGCAGUUCAGUCUGCGAUGGUUUCAUUUCAAAACAUCCCUUACCCAUGUCUGACUCAGAGAACUUACUGUAGCUGGAUUUGGGGUUCUUUAUAAAAGCAUGUUUCGCUUUUCAGGUUUCAUAUCUAAAUAUCCAGUGUGUUGACCUGUUCGUAAGACACAGUUCCUUACUGUUUUACAAGUGUGGUUGGCGCCAAUGGACACUACUGAUCUGGGCUGCAAAAAAAGGAGGGAGAAAAUCUGAAAUAUUCCCUUCCACACAUCACAGUUCAGGAAACUACGGUUGUGUUGAAUAUCAGAGAAUGAGCACACCCCCUCUGCCCUCCCUCCUCAUCUCCCAGCUGUAUAUUAAAUUAUUAAAAAUGUACUUAACUAUAGCUAUGUGUAUAUAAAUAUAUAUAUAUAUAUUUGUUGCUCACUGGAAUUUACCACUGUUUAUGGUACUGGAGGUCUGGAAUCAUUGUGCCUUGGUUGUAAAUAAGCUUGAGUGGCUAUUUUAUUUUAUGAAUAAAAAAAUGACUCUGA
Molecule: non-coding RNA, 4315 nt
Organism: Zootoca vivipara (common lizard)
Lineage: Eukaryota; Metazoa; Chordata; Lepidosauria; Squamata; Lacertidae
Source: RefSeq, a predicted model, not a curated record